AUACGGAGGGUGCAAGCGUUAAUCGGAAUCACUGGGCGUAAAGCGCGCGCAGGCGGCCAUUUAAGUUGGAUGUGAAAGCCUACGGCUCAACCGUAGAACUGCAUCCAAAACUAUUUGGCUAGAGUGUGGGAGAGGAAGAUGGAAUUAGUUGUGUAGGGGUAAAAUCCGUAGAGAUAACUAGGAAUACCAAAAGCGAAGGCAAUCUUCUGGAACAUUACUGACGCUGAGGCGCGAAAGCGUGGGGAGCAAACAGGAUUAGAAACCCCAGUAGUCC
RNAcentral lists this ribosomal RNA (274 nucleotides) under uncultured bacterium. Its description in RNAcentral is "partial 16S ribosomal RNA". It matches the Rfam family "Bacterial small subunit ribosomal RNA", at positions 523 to 796 of the family's 1533-position model. The record is from RNAcentral.